UUUCUGGGAAGAGAGAAAAAAAAGAAGGGGAGGGAAGCCCCUGUCGGCUAGAAGCUAAAUGAACAAGAGCAAAAACAUAUUUUAGUGCCUCAGGAUGUUCUGUAUUCCAACUACUAGUACAUUAAGAAAAGAUAACACAUUUUGAAAAAAGAUCCAUCUUGUAGUCAAGUUUAGUUACUUGGAGAUGAAAAAUUGGAAUAAAUGUGAAGAACACGGUCUUGGGACAGAACAAGCAGCAGAGAAGAGACAGUUCAGAAAUGAGGGCAAAAACCUGCACUAGUUUCCUUGCUGGGCUUGCAUCUGGAGUCACUAUGCCUUUUUCACCUUCUGAUUGGUUGGAUUCCAAUUAAAUGGUGGUGCCUAUCUUAACCCCUGAAUCAAGCACUGGAAGACCUUUGAGAUGGACUUUUGAAAAAGUUUUUGAGGAAAUUAUACUGCUGGCUGUACUGACCUGCAGAAGAUGGUGCAACUGGGUCUGAAAGGUGGAUACUGCUGCCUCCGGACAACUGCCAAAGCAAGAAUAUGACCAUGAAGCAAAGAGAAGCAUAUCACACAGGGAAAGCUAAGACUCAGACGGGGACUGUUUCCUUCUGCUGUAAGGGGAUACUCACUCCUGUACACUGAGCUACUAGGAGAACUGCACAGUCAGCCACUGCUGAAACAGGAGGUGGUGUUAAUUCUGAAAGUGAUCCAUGCUGUAAUGUCAUGAACCAGGAAGUUGGAAUCCUUUACCAGCUCUUUAUGCAAAUAUUUGGCUGCAGCUUGAGCUGAAGGACUUGGAAGGAGCAGGUUUUAAAAAAAUCUGUUUCAUUGUAGAGCUCUCUUUAGCCCCAUUUCUCCCCUGGAUUGGCCUGUUUGCCUGCCUCCCUGUUAUCCAGUUGUUAUCUCCCCCAGGCGUUUCCCGGCGGCGACGGAGCCUCCGGGGAGAGUCCGCGCAGCGCGAGCUCGGGAAAAGCCGUCCGGAGGCUUCCAAGGACGGCGCAAUCGCUGGGAGGAAGGCCUUCGGAAGGAGCCGCCCCUGAGCCGGCUGGGCCAGGUGGAUUGCCCCGGAGAGUCGAAAUGGCCAAGUGCGCGCCGCAGGGGUCUGCCGGAGGGGCCCCAGCGCGCCAGGAGCAGGGAAAGCCACGGCCCUGCAGAGCCGCAGAAAAGCUGUGGAAAUACACCGGGAUCGAAAUGCCCCUGGCCCGCAUGACCCGACCCCCAGAGAAGCAGCCGAAUUACCGGACAUCGUGGUCAGCAGGAACUGGGUCGCAGGCUGGAUGCUGCAGCUGCAGGGACUCUGCGCCUAGGAGGGCUCCUGUGCAGGGAGAAAGGCAGAGAUGCGACAUUUUUAAAGUUUCACAAAGCAUCUGGCUGCACCCAGGUCCCUGGAGCAGGAGACACACAGAAUUAAUGUUUUAUACCUUCGGGUAUAGGUUUGAGUUUUUCCCCCCUCAUGCCAAGUAUUUAAAACCUCUAGAAACCCAUGAUUUGACAAUCAAUGAUUGCGCGAUACUUUCAAUUUGAAUAUUCAAAGGCUUAACAAAAUGGACUAUCUUCUGCAGAAAUCCUGCACACAGGCACCCCAUAGGGAGUCCAGAGAAACAGGGAGUGAGACCCCUUUGGGUCCUGACCCUUCCUUUUAUUGUAUUUUGAGCAUUUUGUCCACCUUCCCACAAACAGAGCAGGUGUCCUCAAAGAUGCUCUGUAUUUCUGCCUCAAAAAUAGCUCAGAAGCCCAGAGUGACUUAGGUUGCUCCUCACGACCACCUGAGCCAGGCUGGCUAGCCAGACUGAUUUCCUCAUGCCCAAUCUCCAUUUAAGGGGAAAUUUCAGGUUUUGGGGAGUGAACAUGGCAGGCAGUGGGUGUGGCCCAGCAAGGGGUCACUCUGGGCCCAGAUUGCAGGCCAGGGGAUAGCAGAGGCCUUAUCUCUGCACUUUGUGUCUUUCUGGCUUCACCCAGCCACGUGUGGGUUUCCUUUCCCUUUUCAUCCUUCUCCCUUACUGGGUCCCAAACACUGAGGUUUCAGCACUGAAUUCCCUGCCCAUUAAGACCUUUUGAUCCUUCCCACAUAUUUGGGGAUGCCUGUGGGCUUUACCCACCAGCAGUUUUCUAAGGCUGGUGUUUCAUCACAGCAUUGUGAGGUCCUCUCUUCUGCUCUUGUCUUUCUCCCUCUAGAGCCACUCCUGCUUUCUAGCUGUAGACGCACCUGUGAGAAAAUGGUGACAAGCUGGAUGUCUGUGCAUUUUAGCUGGAAAGACAUGAUUUGUUUUUCAAAACUUCUUACUUUGGGAUUUGAAGUCAGGCUGCACCGUUGGUCCAGUCUGAGCCCCUCACAAAUGACUUAAGACUGUGCUAAUUAGCUCAUAUUCUCCAAGUACUGACGGUGCCUCUUCCCUAUUAUUUGGAAGAUGGAAGAGAUGGGAUUGGGCCAGAGAGGGAGUGAUUGCCAGGCCAAAUCCUCUUGUAGCAACACUAGGAGACAGGGGUUCCCUUUACAAAUAACCAGGAUAAUUCCCAGGAUGUCAGAUCAGGUGAUGGUUAUAGGCCUCUGUUCUUCUAUCAUGCUUGAGUUCUCUGGGGUGAGGGACUACAGUUAGCUCCAAAAGCCUUCAGAAAAAUAUCUGAAUGUACUCAAUUGUGUCAGAUACAAGUGCAUCAUAUAGAACUCAAGGAAAGGGCAUCUCUGAAAAUGAUAAGACUGAUUUCUUGACAGCUGGAGCCAUAUCACUGGGGAAGAGGAUCAGGGAUGGGGACUCCUGAGGUGACUCCUGGCAAUAGAAGGCAGGAUGGAGAGGGUUUGUCUCAAAUCCACUUGGAGUUUAUCAGUGUUUGGAGCUUAUUUCUCCAAAAACCCCAGGCCUGUGUCCUGGGUUUCUCUGAUAGAAACCAGGCUUGAAGACCAGAUAUGAGGAAGAGAAGGGCAAUGGGAAAAGAGAAAGCCCCUAUUCCUGCAUUGUCCUGUCAUCUGCCAUCCCAGGGCACUGCUUGGAAUUAGGGAUGGUUUCUUGUCCUCAUCGCUUCUUCCAUUAUUUUAUCUUCUGCUUAUUUUUCAGUUUUUUUUUUAAACCUUUUUUUCCUCUGUCUCUUCCUGUUACCACUUUCCUCCAUUUUUUGCCUGUACUACUCUCUUUCUUUCUGAUUCCCUACACACCUCUCUUUCCCCAUGUUCUGGGGUACUGUCCCAUAUUUUCAUGCUUAAUCUCCUUCCUAACCUUUCCUUUACAUGUAGAGAUGGACAGAGAUGGCUAGAGGCCAUUCUACUCCCUUGGUAACAUUAUGGAGGUUCAUGCUGGUGAUAGGCUACUCAUUAGAGAAGGCGUGUGAGACUGGGUGAAGGGGGCUCCUUGGAAGUCAUGGGGCCUGUAGGGAGAGCAAAGAACUCUCUUUUCCUUCUUCCAGAGCCUCUGUCUGAGCCAUGGCAGCAGUCGUGGGACUUUUGUGUUGGCCCCUGUUGCUGGGAUGAACAUCAAGUUGCUGGUCAAUAACCUUGGAAAACUAGAUUUCCCCACAUGCCUGUGCCCUGUUUGAGGAAGAACUCCUUCCCCACACUCUAUUCUUGUUGUUAACUCAACAUUAAGGAGUUUUAGUUUCUGUUCUUUCUGUAACUGCAAAAGUCCAGCACAAGUAUUUAAUAGUCAAACACCAUGCUUGUGCAAGUAGGGGACAGUCCUUUCUAAAUGGAUCCUGCGACCCUCCUUAUAAAUCUGCAUGUGAUGACACCUGAGCAACCAACCGUUUCUACACUGGGAACCCCAGACACCAUAAAAAUGGGUAAUCCUCAUAGACUCUUUAAAAUUCUUAUCUGUUGUUUGUUGAUGUCAUGCACUGCGUUGUAUGGUUCCUCUAUUUUUUAUAGUUGAGGAAACAGGCUUGCCAAGAAGAUUGAGCACAUCAGUGGCAGAAUUGGGAUUCAUACUUUGAUAAGUCUAAUUCCAGAGGCCUUGGUGUUAACUACAGUUGUCGUCUUUCUGAUCUGUUAUAAUAGAAGCUCUUAAACAUUUUGGACUUCAGCCCACAAGAAAUUUACACAUAUCUGCAACAAUAUCUACAUUUAUAAAACGAACUGUCCAUGAAACAAUGUAUAUCUGUGCAUGUGAGGCACCCUGAUAUUUUCUAUUAUAUUCCAGUUUUCCCAUUUCAUUCUGUUUGUGAGAAACAGAUGUUGGUUGGGAGCCACUAAGUUAAUUUAAUGUUACCCCUCAUGAGUUGUAAGUAGCAUUGAAAAGUUCCACUCUUAAGAUUUGCACACACAUCUCUGUGUUGUGCAUGUGGGAGUGUUUUGGUGUGCUGUUUACUUGCACAAGGAGUCAAAGAUGGCACAGCAUAAUGACUUGAGAGUAUUCUGGAAAUGCUGGAACCCUGAAGAAUAGGCUGGCUGGAAAUGAGGAUGAGCUGUUAAUUAUGCUUCCUAACCAUCUGUGCUUCUCAGUCUGGAACUCUUUUGCUGGAAGCAUUAUCACCUCUAGUGUGUCUGCCCUGAAGUCCUGAUAAUCCCUUUGGGGUUUUGAUUAAAAACAAUAAAAACUGAAAAACUGUGGGACUUAACCCACUAUACCAGGCUUAUUGGCUUGAAAAUAUAACAUUGAACUCAAUAUUUGAUGUUAGGAAGGCUCUUAGAAGUAGGAGGGACUUAGUCUUUUUUCAGCAUCUCUGUUGAUAGCUAGUUAGCCUCUGGUUCCAUUGCUUGGCUGAGAGCCUGGCUCAUAGCAGAAUCUGUAUAGAGGAAAUGCGAGCUCAUUAUUUAUAAGGCAGCCUGUUCCAAGAUUGGACUUGGAACAGUCCAAGUCCAAUAUGGUGAUCAGUGAUUGAGCCAUAAUUCAAUUAGGUAUUAAUUGAGCAACACUAUGUACCAGGCAUGAUAUCAAGCACCAGGAAUACAAAGAAAUAAGUCCUGGUUUCUGCUGCCAAUUGCUCUGUUCUCUCACUUCCACAUGAGUGCUUUUCUAUUACGAAUUUGUUUAGUUCAUUCAUUCAUUGAACAACUAUGUGUCAAUUAUCUGUUCUGCCCCUGUCUAGGGCUCAUAUGAGGAAGUUAUCAUGCCCACUCUCCACCCAAGCUUUCUGUUCUUGAGGCCACCUACAGUUUCUCUGGUUCUUCAUAAAUCAGUUUUUCAGGUCUCUGGUUAUCCUUUCCACUGAGCUCAGAAAUCCUUCAGUUUGUCAUUGACCUUCUUAAAGUCAGUCAGUGGUACCCAGAAUGAAUAAAAUAGAUUUGCUUUUGAAGUUUUAAACUGAAUAUUUUAACUGAAAAAUUUUGGUAGUCAUUAGUAUGCAAAUGAAACUACAAAGCAUUAUGUUUUUCCCCCAAAGUAGGAGGUUUUAUUAAGCUUAGGUACAGGCAUAUUAAAAGACUUUCUGUAUAAGGAAAAGGGUAGUUUAUUCCCUCCAAAUUUGACUACAGCUCUAAAUUUUUCUUAUUAAUGCAAAGUUCUUUUGUCACCUUGAGAUUGGACACUGUUACCAAAUCUUGCGGGAAAUAUCAAAUUCCAAAAUAUUGAAUAUAUGGAGGAAACAGGUAAGUAUGAGGCCCUAGAAUGAAUAUUUGGCUCAUAUGAAAAUGACCAGGAAGACUAUUAGACGAAAGCUUUUCAGUGGUUUGUCAAUUGCUUCCCAUAAGACACUUGAAGUUUUAACUUUUUUCCUUUCAAAGUUUCCAGAGGAACAAGUACUUGAUAAUUUAUCCUUUUACAAAAUGACAUCAUAUCAUACACUUCUUAAAAAGUUCAUCUUUUACUUAUAACACUUUGAUUAUGCCAUAUUUGAGACAUACAAAAACAUAUCAAGAAUACUGUGAUGAACCCAUCUGCUAUGUAUAACCAUAGAACUCUAAUAAGAAAAGAAUACUGUGAUGAAAACCUAUGUAUCACCAAGGUUAAGAAACAAAAUGGUUGAGUGCUCUUUUGUUUAUGACUAAAUUGAUUUAUUAAGCAUUGAAAUGUGGAUUAUUCCACUCAAGAUACUUUAUUAGGGGAAAGGUUAGCAGGACCACCUUUCAAUUUUUCCAAAACAAAAGAACUAAUUCCUAGAUACUAUUUUUUUUUUUGGUUCACAUUUUUUUCCCUUUUGGAACAUGUAACAUAUUGUUUUCCUUUUUUCUUCUAAUGUACUGAAAAUUACAUUGCAUAUUGUAAACCUACAUGAUUAUUAGGGAUUAUGGUUUUAGAGGACUUCUGUAUCAAAGAUCAAAUAUAAUGCGGGGUAUCAUCAUUUGCAAAUAACUGUAGAAGGUUUUGUUAUUAUUUAUUCAGUUUGACCCUGGGAGAUUCUAUUUCCUGAUUUAUCAUACUUGUUUUAACAAUGCCAGGGAUAAUAUCAAAAACCAGAUGAUUUUUUUAAUAAGUUUUAUCAAUGUAGUCCAUGCUGAUGCUAAAUGAAUUUUUCCACAUUUUCCUGUGCUGUUUCAAAGGUUCAGUAAUUUCCUUUCUUAAAGAUAUUUUAGAACACUAAAUCAAUUAUCUUAAAUAUGGCACCACUAAAGUCCAAAUCCUAGUGGCUGAAUUUGUAGAACAUGUCUACUGGUGAGAAUUUUCUCAUAUACAGUUUAUAGAGAGCUGUCAUCCACUGAGUCAAGGACUAAACAGUUAUUCAUCUUUGUGAUCUUGGUUUAACUCAAUCGACCACAGAUUUAGUGAGCACCAACAACCUGCAAGGCCCUGAACCAGAUGCUGGAGACUCAGUGGUGAGCCAUUCACGUGUUCUUAAGUUUCUUCAGCUAGUGAAUCACUUUCUUUAGAGUGUAUGGUUUUGCACUUAAUCUCUCUAGAGUCAAUGGGUGGUGAAUAUGGUGUGUGAAAAGAACGGUGCAAUAUAUUUUUUAAUAUAAGGCAUACUUUAGACAGAACCCAGUGAUUGAGCCCAAUGCAUGAAUAUAAUUUUUUGUGUGGUUGAUAGAAUCUCUAUAGUGCAAUGUGACUUAAACCUUGGACAUUUAUUGUUCUUUGGGUACUUUAAAUAUAACUGAUGUUUAAUUCCUUGUGACUCUAUAAUUUAGAUUUACUUUUGGCAAAUGGGUCACAAAGAUACUUUUCUGUGUAUGUACGUAUAUAUCUAUAUGUAAAUAUAGAUUUUACUAUUGGGGUUAUUCUUUUCCCUUUGUGGAAUUUCUUUUGGAGCACUUCAUUCUUCUUCCUCUACCACAAUAGUACCAUGACAUUGUAUUAUUAACUGAGCUGUGGCAGGUCAUAAUGAUCAUUUUAAAUUAUUUAUUGAAUAAACAAGGUAAAGAUGUG
Sciurus carolinensis (gray squirrel) is the source of this 7211-nucleotide RNA transcript. RefSeq lists it as uncharacterized. Lineage: Eukaryota; Metazoa; Chordata; Mammalia; Rodentia; Sciuridae. The transcript has 4 exons. The record is from RefSeq and is a predicted model, not a curated record.